RNAcentral lists this ribosomal RNA (253 nucleotides) under uncultured bacterium. Its description in RNAcentral is "partial 16S ribosomal RNA". It matches the Rfam family "Bacterial small subunit ribosomal RNA", at positions 524 to 776 of the family's 1533-position model. The record is from RNAcentral.
GACGUAGGAUGCAAGCGUUGUCCGGAUUUAUUGGGCGUAAAGAGUUCGUAGGUGGUUCGUUAAGUCUGAUGUUAAAGACCGAGGCUCAACUUCGGGACUGCAUUGGAUACUGGCGGACUUGAGUGUGGUAGAGGCAAUCGGAAUUCCAGGUGUAGCGGUGAAAUGCGAAGAUAUCUGGAAGAACACCGGUGGCGCAAGCGGAUUGCUGGGCCAUAACUGACACUGAGGAACGAAAGCUAGGGGAGCGAAUGGG